GGUGCAUGGCAGACGGGUGAGUAACGCGUGGGGAAUCUACCUCUUUGUGGGGAAUAACGCUCCGAAAGGAGUGGUAAUACCGCAUGAGACCGCAGACUGGGAUGUUUGUGGUGAAACCUGGGGACCGCAAGGCCUGGGGCAAGAAGAGGAUCCUGCGUCUGAUUAGCUAGUUGGCGGGGUAAUGGCCCACCAAGGCGACGAUCAGUAGCCGGCCUGAGAGGGUGAUCGGCCACACUGGAACUGAGACACGGUCCAGACUCCUACGGGAGGCAGCAGUGGGGAAUUUUGCGCAAUGGACGAGAGUCUGACGCAGCAACGCCGCGUGGGUGAUGAAGGUCUUCGGACUGUAAAACCCUGUCGUCAGGGACGAAGGUAUGGGAGUUAAUAGCUCUUAUGCUUGACGGUACCUGGAGAGGAAGCCCCGGCUAACUCUGUGCCAGCAGCCGCGGUAAUACAGAGGGGGCAAGCGUUAUUCGGAAUUAUUGGGCGUAAAGGGCGCGUAGGCGGUUUUUUAAGUCAGAUGUGUAAUCCCCGAGCUCAACUUGGGAACUGCAUCUCAUACUGGGAGGCUAGAGUACUGGAGAGGGUGGUAGAAUUCCACGUGUAGCGGUGAAAUGCGUAGAGAUGUGGAGGAAUACCAGUGGCGAAGGCGGCCACCUGGACAGUAACUGACGCUGAGGCGCGAAAGUGUGGGUAGCAAACAGGAUUAGAUACCCUGGUAGUCCACACUGUAAACGAUGAACACUUGGUGUGGAGGGAGUUGACCCCUUCCGUGCCGUAGCUAACGCGUUAAGUGUUC
This 799-nucleotide ribosomal RNA is filed under the name uncultured bacterium. Its description in RNAcentral is "bacterial SSU rRNA". It matches the Rfam family "Bacterial small subunit ribosomal RNA", at positions 90 to 869 of the family's 1533-position model. The record is from RNAcentral.